Molecule: ribosomal RNA, 460 nt
Filed under: uncultured bacterium
Lineage: Bacteria
Description: partial 16S ribosomal RNA
Rfam family: Bacterial small subunit ribosomal RNA
Source: RNAcentral
CCUACGGGUGACAGCAGUGAGGAAUAUUGGUCAAUGGCCGGAAGGCUGAACCAGCCAUGCCGCGUGAAGGUCAGUGCCCUAUGGGCGUUACACUUCUUUUGUGCGGGAGCAAUAAUGGUCACGUGUGGCCAGACGAGAGUACCGUACGAAUAAGCCUCGGCUAACUCCGUACCAGCAGCCGCGGUAAUCCGGGGGAUGCACGCGUUAACCGGAUUUAUUGGGUUUAAAGGGUGCGUAGGCUGUGAGGUAAGUCAGCGGUGAAAUGCCACCGCUCAACGGGUUGAAGUGCCAUUGAUACUGCCGUGCUGGAAUGCGGAUGCCGGGGGAGGAAUGUGUGGUGUAGCGGUGAAAUGCAUAGAUAUCACACAGAACACCGAUUGCGAAGGCAUCUCACGAAUCCGCGAUUGACGCUGAUGCACGAAAGCGUGGGUAUCAAACAGGAUUAGAUACCCGUGUAGUC